GUAAUUUCCAAGCGAUUCCUGACGUUAUAGCAUUGCUAUAAUAAAUGGACUAUAAUUCACAAUUACUCAGAGUAUAAUUUAAUCGAAUAAACCCCUCUGUACAUUCGAGAGAAAAAUCCCCCGUCCGAACAUUCAUCAAAUGGC
Long non-coding RNA from Coccinella septempunctata (seven-spotted ladybird), 144 nucleotides. RefSeq lists it as uncharacterized. NCBI's taxonomy places the organism in Eukaryota, Metazoa, Arthropoda, Insecta, Coleoptera, Coccinellidae. The transcript has 2 exons. The record is from RefSeq and is a predicted model, not a curated record.